CUAGAACUGAAAAGCCAUCAUGCAGUGCUGUUCCCCAAUUCAAAACACAAGUUCGAAUCAUCUUAGGCUCAAACUGAGAACUGGCAUUAGUCCAGUUAAAUUAAUCUGCAAGUUGCUCCGAAGUGGGGAAGCGGGGCAGGAUGGCUUACAUCUUAAAUGGACAAGUGUUGGACAGCAGAGUCCAUCUCCCUGGAGUUUAUCUUUGAUAACAGAUUUCUUCUGAAGAAUAGCCAAGUUUGUGAUUUUGUUUUUCAAAACUCUACUUCAGCAACAUGUGAAGAAAAGAAGAGGCUAUGGAAACACAUCUGAUUCCAGAUAUGAUCAUGGAAGACAGCCACCAGGAAACCCUCUGGGGAAAACAGGUCAAAUCAAUCAUCUGCAUCUCCCCAGUCCUCCCCCAAAGGCUGGUGGAUGAGGAAGGUAAAUAUCUACUCUAAGAAAUAGACAACUGGACAUGCACAUUCACAGUAGAGAGAAACCACCAAGGAGCGGAGGGCUGACCAUGCUGGACAAGUAGAUGAAUGCAUACAUCUAAACAAGGAUUGCUCUGGGUCUUCACAGAUUAAUGAGAUCAUGCUGGGAAUUCCCUUUGCAGGGAACUGGCUAACUGGCAUGCAGUUCUAUAAAUGCACAUCUGUCUCAUUAUCUUUUUUAAUAUACUUUACUGAAGUAUUCAUAUAGUUCUAAUAAGUAAAUAUUUUUAGCUUGCAA
This 711-nucleotide long non-coding RNA is filed under the name Homo sapiens (human). RNAcentral describes it as "non-protein coding lnc-ASF1A-5:2". The record is from RNAcentral. Lineage: Eukaryota; Metazoa; Chordata; Mammalia; Primates; Hominidae.